CCUACGGGAGGCAGCAGUGGGGAAUAUUGCUCAAUGGGGGAAACCCUGAAGCAGCAACGCCGCGUGGAGGAUGAAGGUUUUCGGAUUGUAAACUCCUUUUGUUAGAGAAGAUAAUGACAGUAUCUAACGAAUAAGCACCGGCUAACUCCGUGCCAGCAGCCGCGGUAAUACGGAGGGUGCAAGCGUUACUCGGAAUCACUGGGCGUAAAGAGAGCGUAGGCGGGAUAGCAAGUCAGAUGUGAAAUCCUAUGGCUUAACCAUAGAACUGCAUUUGAAACUGUUAUUCUAGAGUAUGGGAGAGGUAGGUGGAAUUCUUGGUGUAGGGGUAAAAUCCGUAGAGAUCAAGAGGAAUACUCAUUGCGAAGGCGACCUGCUAGAACAUAACUGACGCUGAUGCGCGAAAGCGUGGGGAGCAAACAGGAUUAGAUACCCUAGUAGUC
Molecule: ribosomal RNA, 440 nt
Filed under: uncultured bacterium
Lineage: Bacteria
Description: partial 16S ribosomal RNA
Rfam family: Bacterial small subunit ribosomal RNA
Source: RNAcentral